Molecule: ribosomal RNA, 253 nt
Filed under: uncultured bacterium
Lineage: Bacteria
Description: partial 16S ribosomal RNA
Rfam family: Bacterial small subunit ribosomal RNA
Source: RNAcentral
UACGUAGGGGGCGAGCGUUGUCCGGAUUUAUUGGGCGUAAAGAGCGUGUAGGCGGCCAGGUAGGUCUGCUGUGAAAACUCGAGGCUCAACCUCGAGAUGUCGGCGGAAACCAUCUGGCUAGAGUCCGGAAGAGGAGAGUGGAAUUCCCGGUGUAGAGGUGAAAUUCGUAGAUAUCGGGAGGAACACCAGUGGCGAAGGCGGCGAUCUGGGUCGAUACUGACGCUGAGGUGCGAAAGCGUGGGGAGCAAACAGG